Molecule: long non-coding RNA, 67 nt
Organism: Etheostoma cragini (Arkansas darter)
Lineage: Eukaryota; Metazoa; Chordata; Actinopteri; Perciformes; Percidae
Exons: 3
Source: RefSeq, a predicted model, not a curated record
AAGUACAGCUGAGGCUGAUGGGAAUGACAGUAGUUUUGCAGGCAUUUGUUCAUAAAACAAUUAAACG